Gallus gallus (chicken) is the source of this 7201-nucleotide long non-coding RNA. RefSeq lists it as uncharacterized. NCBI's taxonomy places the organism in Eukaryota, Metazoa, Chordata, Aves, Galliformes, Phasianidae. The record is from RefSeq and is a predicted model, not a curated record. The transcript has 2 exons.
AAGCACAUAGCAUGUCUGGUUGUUCAGGGUCAGCCCACCUCUCCUGUAUGUUCAAAGAAAGCAAAAGAAUAUUUUUGCAUCCAGAACUUGUUGCCAAGUGGACAAAUGCAAUGCACAGCAAGUGCCAACACCUGGCAAGAGGCACCCUGCAACUCAACACUUUCAGCCAUCUUUGCUUGCGCAGUGCUGUGACAAGCUCUUUGGUCCCACACAAGCUACCACUGCUCUGCUAUGUAUUACUUUUAUGACUUCAGAGCAUGCCACACACAGACUUACUAACCUAAAUGCACCAGAGACACAGAGAAGAAAAAAAAAUUGCGUCCAUAAUUCACAUAGCCAGGCUGAAAAAAGCCCCUGAAGACACAACAUCUUCCACUUUCAUAGAUGGACUUUUGUGGGGGAAACCAUAAACACCACACCUUUUCCUUGCGGUCAGUGCUUUGCACUUUGCUAAAUACACUGCUCUUCUACAACUUCUCCUCUCACACCCACGCGGGCACAGCCUGCAAAACAUCCCGCUUGAUUCUACGGGCAAGCAGAGACAUGCUGGUUAACCCGCCCAUCCCUAUGGCACCAUUCUGGAACUUGGACCCCCUAAUUUCACUCACGCGAAGAACAUCGACGCUCUGAGGCGAUCAGCUCCGGCGCAGACACGUCCUGCAGCAGCGGGGAGAACUGCAGCGUAUGUGGGGAAGUCCUGGAAUCGAGGGGCCGCCAGGGUGAGCAGCCAGGACCCGCCAGCCCCCUGCGAGCCGCUGAGACCAGGCGGUGGCGGCCAGACGCAAGGGCGGGAAGUUUAAACGGCCUAACGGUCCUGUCUCCAACGGUCACUUUGAGGCGAUCGGCUCCAGCGCCGCACACCUAGCAGGGGAGGCGGGGUCCCAACGCAAGGGGAGAGCUGCCACGAGCUUCCAGCAAUCACGAGAGCAGCUGAGCAGGUGCGGGCAGGGUCAGGAGAACCGACAGUCGCUCUCACGCCUCAAAGAGCAGCUCCAGAGGGCGCGAGCAUGCACGAGCACAGCACGUACAGGAACACAGCACGCUCGCAGCUUGCCCGCGUGGAGGGUGACAGGCAGCCUGCCUUCUCUCUUGAAAGAAACACGGGGAGCACCUGCUGCAACGGCCAAGCUGAGGUGGAAACCCAGACUGGGAGGCAAAGCCUUCCCUUCUCGGGCUGUUACAGACAGACCUCCCUGAGUGUGAAAGAAGCUAAGAAAGCUUCCAGCCCCGAGGAGGCAGACCGCAGAAACCUGCAGAGCGGACCUGCAUCUCUGCUCAGAACAGAAGGAGGACCCCCUUGUCCACAAAGUACCCUCUAACAACAGACAUGCUCUGGGGCUGGAAAAAGGAAAGGAUGUGGGUAACAGCCAAGGCGGGGGAAGGGACAGACACAGUAAGCUGGUCCAACCAAGGACCAACUCUCCACACAGAGAGGCACUGAAGCAUUCAUUUGCCAUCCAGAUAAUCUCUGUAGAGUGGUUUUCCACCUGCUGGUGACCUUCAUUUGUGAUAUCAAGAAAAGAUUAGAGUCCCUAGGAAAGCAAGAGGAUGACUCUCCAUUCCUGCUUUUUCGAGUCAAGACAAGGCUACUAGUAUUUCAGGAUGUUUCUGCAGUAGAGUGGUUUGUACAUAAGAGGAAUGAAUACUACUGUGCUGCAACAAGAACAGAAAGUCCAGAAAUCCCACUUUGAAGGACUCUGCACACAAAGAAGAAACUGCCUAAGGAGGACAAGUGGCGACUCAGGUAAGCCAAAACCAAAUGAUUAAUGAGUGAAACAUGCAAAAUAAAUUGUAUUCCUCCUGGCAACCACAGCAGACCAACCAACUAUGUUCUCUCAAGAAACACACAUUAAAAAAAAUGCAAAGAAAGUUCUUCCCACCACACCACUUGAGUCCAAAAGCAGACAUGAGGAAAGAGGACUCUCCAGUGAAUGUGAGUUUCUAGGAACAUCCCACAGUUGCCUUUCGUAAUUUACAGGAUAGUGCUUUUCUAAAGUCUUGUUGAGGUUUUCCAAAUCUGUCCUUCAAAGCAUGCUGCAUUGUUGCCUUUGUUUUUAAGUCAGAAACAGGUAAGUUCUGGAGGGACAGAGAAAACCUUCAAGAGAUAAUCACAGAGGUUUGCAGUGUAAGAAAAACGUUAAUACGAAUACAGACUACAUUGAGCAUUCCCAUGAAAAACACACAGUUCAAGUAAGGCUCAUCCAGUUUGGGCUCAUAGGAUAAAAGCAAGGCUUGAGUUGCUUCAUAUUUCUGGGCUUCCAAAUGCCCUCCUUCACUCCCUAUCCCACCAUUCCAAGUUCAUCUGAAAAGCAGAUAUUUUUCCAACAUUUAAUGUCCCUGCAAAUAAAAUGAUCUUGAUACUGGAGUGAGUACAUAUACUGUAAGGAGAUUUUGGCAAACCUUCUACUGUCUGGGUCUUGUUAAACUCCUACUGACACUCAUGCACGCAUUAUACAAAGGAACACAGAAGGUCAGGUGCAUUUUUAAACAAAAGCAAUGCCAAAGUUUCUUUUAGAUAAAUUUAUGACCAAUAGUUUACAUGCAUUAUUAAUUUGUUGAGCAUUUUCUCAGAAUUCUUGGAAUUAAAUGUCAGUUAUAUAAAUUUAAAAAAAGUUUGCGUUUACACAGCAGAGGAUUCAGACAAAUGACUCAAUGCUACAGAGGCAUUCCUGAGACUCAUUACUCCAAGGAUUUUAAGGACAAGAUCAUCUUGUUUCUUGAGUGUUCUUUGGCAGCAGAAAUCUACAGACUCAAUUUUUUUUUUCCUUGAAAAUUCACCAGUUUUUCAUGCUUGAACAUCUAGUAUAGAUGUUGCUCCAAGAAAAAGCUUCCUCCUACAUGCCAGAUUAAAACAAUUUUGAUCCAGUUUGUACACCUUUAUUCUUGUGCAAAUCUUCACCGUGGAAAAAGAGUCCUCUAGCAAAUAGCUGGAAACAACAGUAAAGACUCUCUCAGUUUUCAUCUUUGUAGCUGAAGCAGACCUUCCCCCCCACUCCCUUAGCCCGUCUGCUGUGAUAUCCAAUGCUAAUUUCUCAGUGUGGACUUACUCUAUCUGGAACAAGCCUAUUUGGACAGCACGAGAUGCAUGUAUUCUGAUGCCUGCUGCCUGCGUCCUGCAGUUCUAAAUCACAAGGUCCUUGAGAAAAUUCUCUCAGAGAGAUGCAGUGUUAUGUCCAGAGCUCAUGAAGUGAAAAAAUAAAUACCUCAGGUAAUUUUUACAGAAGGCAUAUAGUAGGAUUGUAGGGAGUGCACUGAAAAUAGUUUGCAUAUGUCAGGAAGAAUUAAAUGUGCCUUCAAUUUCUUGUUAUUGUGCUAAGCAGGAGACACCUUUAACAAUCCAGAGCUACCACAGUUUGACCAAUAUGAUUAUUUUGUAGUAGUACAUCAAUGAUUUUUACAAAGAAAUUAGACGAGCUAAUAAGGUACAUUUAAGAUUCUCUCCCCUUAUGCUGAAGAAAAAAUUUAUGAGAAAAACAAAGCUGCCGCCGCCACCACCACCAAAAUGUAAUGCACACUAGCAGACGGUCUUAUGAAAAAAAAAAAAAAAAAAAAUCAGGACAGGUGUCCUAGAAGAGCACCUGCCCUUUCUUUAAAGAUUCCAAGUUUUUUUUUUUUAAAAAAAAAAAGAAAGAAAAGAAAAGAGACCGUAGGUAAAGUAUUCUUAUUGUAUUGUCUUGAUAUUUCAUUACAGCUAUAGAAAUAUCUGCAUAGAAAGUACAGUUCUUAAGUAUCAGCUUCCAGGUAAAUGACAUUUCUAGAAUCACAGAAAUUUUUAGGUUGGAAAAGACUCUAAGACUAUCAAGCCCAAUCAUCCAUUUAACUCUAUCAAGUCCACCACUAAACCACAUCCCUAAGCACUAAUCCACAAAUACCCCCAGGGAUGGAGACCCCACCACCUCCCUGGGCAUCCUGUUACAAUGCCUAACCAUGCUAUUUUGUGAAGUAAUCAUUUCUGAUAUCCAACCUAAACCUUCCCUAGCAUAUAUUGAGGCAGUUUCCUUGUGUUCUACCACUUGUCACCUGAUAAAAGGGAGACUCCUCACUAAAACCUCCUUUCGGAUAGCUGUAGAAAGCAAUGAAGUCUCCUCUCAGCCUCCUUUUCUCCAAAUUAAACAACCUCAGUUCCCUCAGCUGUUUCUCAUGUCUUUUUCCUAUUCCCUUAACCAGCUUUGUUGCUCUUCUCUGAACCAGUCUUAUCCUUUAUUAGUGUUACACUACUGAUUCCCCCCACAGUAUGCUCUAGACAAAAGGGCACAUGUAGUAGAUGAUAAAUGAAAGCAGUUGUUUCUUAAAGACAAAUUAGUACAGCAGCAGCAGAGCUUUGAAGUUUCUCAUCAAAUCGUCAUCGUAUUCUCACAGGAAUGUCUCAAAGGGAUAAACCAGGCCUUUAAAAUAGCAGCAAAGUGCAUGCGUGAAAUCCUGUUUUCAUGUCAGUGGAAAUUUGUUUGCUUUUUUUAUUCACUUCACUAACUCCAGAGGCUGCAUCUUUAAGCAUGCAUUUCAUCUGAUAAUCUGUGUUGAUUCAAUAAAAACGUUUAAAAUAGUGAAUGCUCUCAAGGGCAGGCACAGCAUCCUAGAGAUUCUAAAUCACCAUUAUAAAUAGCUUGCCUCUAACACUGAGACUUUGCCUAAAUAGAAACACUUACUAACUUCAGGCAGAUCACUAAGGGGUUAAAAUUAAAUGUGUGGAGACACUUGCUGUUAGGUGUCCCCACACUUUAAAAGGUAGUCAGCCUUUAACUUCUUUUAGGCGAAGGAUGUUAAGCAACAGCAAAUUUAAGUCAGUGUGUACUUUUGGUAAGAGCCCAUGUGUUUAGAAGCAAGGGAGGAAAAAAAAAUAGUUAUUUUAAAAUAAUAAUAAUAAUAAUAAAAAUCUCUUGGAAUUGCCUGCUUAGUUCUAAUUCAGAAAAGACUCAAUUCAACAGAUUACCCUUAGCACCCUAGUAGGACAUUAAUUUCUCAGCAGUAAAAAUGUGUCAGAUCUAUUAAUGUAAGGAACAAGAUUUGACAUUUUUUGUCUCCCAGAACUGAGAUGCUUUGAAUCAAUAGUUCUUCAGAUCUGACACGCCAGGAGACAAAAAUGUGAUUGUAGAGGAUGCUGUAGCUAUGAAUAACAUUACAGUGAAGUAUUGAAUGGAAGGGAAAGUAUACCUAAAACUUAAAACAUGGUAUCCUGGUGAAACAUUACUUAAGUUUUGUUACAAAAAUCUAUUAUUAUUAUGAACAGUAACUUCUCCCUAUGUACUUCAGGGUUUUACUGCAUUUGGAAAAAAAAAAAAAGUACAGAAUUUUGUCGCUGUUCUGACUCCAAGACAAAACUAAGCAGUACCCAAACAAACAAGAAACACUGAGAACUGUGAGCCUGUUUUUUUUCUUCUGCAAACUGAUGCCUUCUGUUUCAAAUCUUGGACAGAAAAUGCUGAUAUCAGAAUGUUCCGAAGAUCUACCCACUAGAAAGCCAAGGUUUUAAGGACUUGAUUUGCAAGAGAAGGCAGGAGUUUAGGACUUCAUGUGAACCAACAAAGUUUGGCAAUAACAACUUGCAAUGUAUGGAAUCACUUCCAGGAGAUAUUAAAGAAAAACAUUUGCUAUUUGCACACCUGACUGUUCUCCAAAUGAGGAGAGCUCAUUAAGAAGCCUGCUGAAGUUCUACAUUGGCUACUCCAAAAGUAAUGCCUUCUAUGUUAUUAUAUUGGCACGACAGUAGAAGUUGAACCUUCCUACCAAUAUUCCGUUACAUUUUGUUGCUGUGACAGAAGCAUUAGAGGGGCAGCCUGACAAAAUGGCAUCUGACAUGAAAGUGCAUAUGAAACAAAGGUCUGUCAUUUAAUUCUUCUAUGUGGAAAAAACUGCACCUAUUGACUUUCACUGACACUUGCUGAAUGCCUAUGGAGACCAAUCAGUGGAUGUGAGCACAGCGAGGUGGAGACUUCUUAAUUUGAAGUUGAAAUUAAAAAAAAUAAAAAAUAACUGAAUUAUGGCCUCUAAACUAGCUACAGAGGCUGUUUACAAACAGACAUUUUCCUUUUAUGAAGCUAUCUUUGAUAUAUUUUAGGUUAAGUUGUAUUUACUGGGUUUAGUCCUCUUAAAACUAUUUCAAGAUCUAAUACUUUAAUGUCUGUGAUGAGGAGAUAAGAUUGCAAACACUAUGUCCAAGAGAAAGAAAAAGCUGAACUUCAAAUCAGCCCAUCUGAUAUCAGUCUGGAGAAACACAUCACAUGAGUAGUAGAGACAUAAAGCUACUGUGUCUUUUUCCCCCUCAAAAGAGAUGUUUUUUGCCCUCUGAGUCACAAAAGCAGCUGAAGCACUAAGUUCACUCCUCACAGCAUUGGAAAAAAUGAGAAGAUGGAUAAGAAGCACUACAUUUUGACUUAAGAAAAAGGAUUUUUUUUUUUUAAUGUCAACAAUACACAAUGUCAAGAAAUUUUUAGUACCAACUGGUGUCUGCUAAAGCUAUUUAUCUGUGUUUGCCUUCCUCCUAGAAUGUAUCAGUCUUUUUUUUGUUGUUGUUUUUUAAUCCUCAUGAUAGUGUUGAGAAAGAAUGAUCAGAUUUUGCAACUCAAGUUGCACAAGCAGACCUAUGUGGUUACAAUCUUAUGAGAGAGAGGUAUGAGAAGUCAAUACCUCAAGACUGCAACUAAUUUAAACUCCAGAUGACUCUAAACACUAGUCUGGUAUCUUAUCUCUUUCAGCAGAAAGUAUGUCAGUCUGCAAUGUCAAUCUCCUGGUGCUGCAACUGUAGAAUGAAAUCCUUACAUCGACAUCAUUGAAAACUAAAAACUCAGUCUAUUUCAAUGUCAAUAUUACACAAUACCAUUCUUUCAUUAUCUUAGAAGAACAAAAAUAUUUAAAAUUAUAUCCAAUUUGAACUCCCUUUCUGCGUAUUUUGGCUGCAGUAAAAAGCAAAUAAAGCAUUCCUUUUCUGUUGUUUUCAGUAAAAAAAAAAAUAUUUGUUCUAUAGUUCUCCACAUCAGAGCCUAUUGUUACAAUAGCAACAGCAAAAGAAAGAAAACGCUACAUUACAUUUACAGUUGACAUAAUAACACAAGUAAUACUUGUAAAAGAAAAAAAAACAAAACAGUCAAACAUCAUGUAGACUGUAUCAUCUAUCACCCUAUUCCCUCAGGACUCUGGUAAGGAUCUUGUACUUUUUUUUCCAAAAUUAAGGUGCUUGUUUUUUUUUUUUUUUUUUUUUUUUAAA